This 860-nucleotide ribosomal RNA is filed under the name uncultured Acidobacteriota bacterium. Its description in RNAcentral is "bacterial SSU rRNA". It matches the Rfam family "Bacterial small subunit ribosomal RNA", at positions 58 to 915 of the family's 1533-position model. Lineage: Bacteria; Pseudomonadati; Acidobacteriota. The record is from RNAcentral.
CAAGUCGCGUGCGCAGUUUCCGUAGCAAUACGGAGAUGGGCGCACGGCGCACGGGUGCGUAACACGUGGGCAAUCUGCCCUUUGAUGGGGAAUAACCCGCCGAAAGGCGGGCUAAUUCCGCAUAAGAUUCCCGGAACUUCGGUUCUGGGAUUGAAAGCAGCAAUGCGUCGAAGGAGGAGCCCGCGCCCGAUUAGCUAGUUGGUGAGGUAACGGCUCACCAAGGCUAUGAUCGGUAGCUGGUCUGAGAGGAUGAUCAGCCACACUGGAACUGAGACACGGUCCAGACUCCUACGGGAGGCAGCAGUGGGGAAUCUUGCACAAUGGGCGAAAGCCUGAUGCAGCGACGCCGCGUGGGGGAUGAAGCAUUUCGGUGUGUAAACCCCUUUCGACUGGGAAGAAUACCUCGCAAAAGGGGUGACGGUACCAGUAGAAGAAGCCCCGGCUAACUACGUGCCAGCAGCCGCGGUAAGACGUAGGGGGCCAGCGUUGUUCGGAAUUACUGGGUGUAAAGGGUUCGUAGGCGGUGCGGCAAGUUGGGAGUGAAAUCUCUGGGCUUAACCCAGAGGCUGCUUCCAAAACUGCUGUGCUCGAGUGUGAGAGAGGCGCGUGGAAUUGCAGGUGUAGCGGUGAAAUGCGUAGAUAUCUGCAGGAACACCCGUGGCGAAAGCGGCGCGCUGGAUCACUACUGACGCUGAGGAACGAAAGCUAGGGGAGCAAACAGGAUUAGAUACCCUGGUAGUCCUAGCCCUAAACGAUCAGGACUUGGGGUGCCGCCCGUUCGGGCGUCGUCCCGGAGCUAACGCGUUAAGUCCUGCACCUGGGGAGUACGGUCGCAAGACUGAAACUCAAAGGAAUUGACG